UGAAGCAUAAAGUGAUAACUGAAUAAUGGUUGCAUCUAGUGCUGGAUGCCCUCUAAAAACAUCCUCUGUAACCGGGAAGUAAAGGAUUUUAUUAUUAUUAUUAUUCCAGCAACAUCAUUGGUGUAAAUUACAUUGCAGGGAUAGAGUGCCCUUAAAAGCUAUCUUUUAGAAUUUACCUGUGGGCGUGCGGUUAUCCUGCAAAUGUUGUUGACAAACCUUGCACCUUGUCGCGCUAGUAAAAAUAAGAUUUUGCUGCAAGGUUAACCUCAAAGAGGUAUAGCAUCACUCUUCUAAAUCUACCCACUGGUCUUCAGAUUGUCUGAUUAAAAGCAGAAGGGUUUGGCUGAAGGUUUGUAUGCACUAAGCUCCUGCUUGUUUUGCUCAGGACAAAACAGGUCACUUAAAAUGAAGAAACAAUUCUAGAUGAGAGGCAAGAAGGCGGGGAUGGCAGCUCUGUUCUUUUUCUUUCUUUUUUUCUCCUUUUUUUCUAAUAAGCGUGUCAUAAAGGGCUUCAAUCCACACUCAGAAAGCGGCACAGUGCGACUAUGUAGAAUUACAAUCAACAGCUGCCAGCGAGAGCUCCUUCUGUGCCAAGUGUUGCAUCACUCUGCUGGUCCUCUAAAAGGAAUUUAACACUGAAGCAGGUCUACACCUCAAGGUGAAAGUAGGUGUUUAAUGACAUUAACAGAAUGCACUUCAUCCAGAUCUCCCUCUCCUGCUGGUCAGAACGUCUUAAAGUGUCGGCUGAGGUGUUAAUCUGCAGCCGCUCUCAGACGAUACGCCUCAGUGAAACUCCAUGCCAGAGGUCUGAGUGCUGGUAAUACUGUCCGUAUCCUAGCCUCACUUUGUCAACAUGCUUAGCUAUCUGCAUUGACUGGUUAACUGUGGGAUAAAAUAUAUAUUACCUGACUCUCGACAUAGCCCAGUAUCAAUGUUGGCGUCCUUAUUGCUGUGGCAGUCUUGUGGAGUGAAUCUUUUUUCGUGUCAAGUGUCUUUAAGGUGUUCGAGUGGCACUGUUGACCAAUCUCUCGAUCUCCUCUGGGGAUGAUUCUCUUUCUCUCACAUACAGCUGUAUAGUAUGUAGCUACAGUAGGUAUUAAUGACCAUUGUGAAAAAGUGACCCUUAAUAUGCAACUCAGUGGAAAGGUGUGAAAGAGUAGAUGUAAGAGUAAUCAAUAUUGUCAGAGUUUAGGUCUGUUCUUUAAUCAUUCUUGAUGUUUUGUAUAUUUUUGUUUAUUUAUGUUUUUUUGCAUCCCUCUGUGGGAGAGCAACUGGCCCUUGGUUAAAGCCGCUAACAAAGCUGUCAAUGUUUUUAAAGGAAUCGUGACAGCUGCACUCAAGCCUUACUCAGUUACUCUGGUCUUCAAUCACCUGAAUUACAAAUCCAUUAAUUAAACUUGGAUCUUAACUGAAAUGAACUGCUAUUAUUUAGAUAUUUAUGCACUAAAUAAUGUGGAUGCUACGAUGGAUUCUGCCACAAGGGCCACUUGCAAUAUUUUUUUUUCCUCUGUGUGUGUGUGUGUGUGUGUGUGGGCGUGUGCGUGCGUGUGUGUUUGUACGGUUGAAGUUCCUCUGCUGCUACACCAGUCGUUAAUGCUCAUUGUUUUGCUGUAGCAUCAUCCACAACAUUUCUGUUCUCAUUAUGUGUCGUGUGUGUGAAUUUGAAAUUGAUCUUAACACUGUAAUUUGUUCUGCAGAUUUACUUUUUAAUUAGUUUUGACUUUUUCUUGUUUUGUUUUUUGUUUGUUUGUUUUUUUUUGUAUUGUUUGAGCAACAUGUUAGAGGAUAAAUAGCAGCACUUGUGUGGCAGUUGAUUUUUAAUAGCUCUCAAGACAUUGGCUUUUUUCAUGAAGUUAUGCUUUGUAAAUGGUUGACUGUGCAGGUUUUUUUUUCCUCUUCUCUAUGGAGUGGGUCUGUGUUUCAAAGGUAUACAAAUCUGACUAAAGCGAGUAAUACAAAGUUAAUAAUCUGUUUUGUUAUUUUUCUGUAUGGGUUGUAAUAAAAUAUUGCAGUACUUUGUAUGAAAACAGACAAUAGUUAAUUGUAACUAUUUAUAAAUUAAAUUAUUGUACUUUUUGCAAUCUGUAGAUAAGUACUAUGUAUUCAUAUAUACAGUAACAACUGUGGAUUUAAAUGUGAUUCUCUGAGGUGUCUAAGUUAUUGAUGUAUAUAUUGUAUGUUUGUUGAUACAGCUUACUUUAUUUUCUAUAAGACCAAUAAAAUGUUUUGGAAAAGGG
Oreochromis aureus is the source of this 2237-nucleotide long non-coding RNA. The record is from Ensembl. NCBI's taxonomy places the organism in Eukaryota, Metazoa, Chordata, Actinopteri, Cichliformes, Cichlidae.